Molecule: ribosomal RNA, 518 nt
Filed under: uncultured bacterium
Lineage: Bacteria
Description: bacterial SSU rRNA
Rfam family: Bacterial small subunit ribosomal RNA
Source: RNAcentral
GACGAACGCUGGCGGCGUGGAUUAGGCAUGCAAGUCGAACGGUAUGGACCUUUCGGGGUUCAGAGAGUGGCGAACGGGUGAGUAACACGUAGGUAAUCUACCCUCAAGACGGGGACAACCCAGGGAAACUUGGGCUAAUACCGGAUGUGUGUAGUGGCUAUUUUUCUGAUUAUCAUUAUUUACGUAAGUGAGUAAUAAUAAGAAGGGAAAGUGGUUAUUACAUAAAAGGUGGCGUAAGCUGCCGCUUGGGGAUGAGCCUGCGUCCUAUUAGUUAGUUGGUGAGGUAACGGCUUACCAAGGCGAUGAUAGGUAGGCGGCCUUAACGGGUGGUCGCCCACACUGGGAUUGAGAUACGGCCCAGACUCCUACGGGAGGCAGCAGUCGAGAAUAGUCUACAAUGGACGGAAGUCUGAUAGUGCGACGCCGCGUGAACGAUGAAUCCCUUCGGGGUGUAAAGUUCUUUUAUAUGUGAGCAGUGCUUCUUAUAUUAACAGUAUGGGGAGAGAGAUAUUAGCAUA